GCUGCCUCCUCUGACUGUGGUGGAGCAGCUCAGCAGGAUAAUAAGCUUACUCGCCUGACCUUGGGUCUCUCUCUCAUCCUUUCUCUUGGCUAACCUUCAUUUUGGUGCCAAAACCCAGGAAGGGGAUAGGCUCUGGCUGGGCGUCCUUAGAGGAUUCUCUCUCUCUCUCUCCUAUCAUCCCUUACCCAGCCAACCUCCCCUUCCCGAACCUGCUAAAGACCCUAAGGAUCUCCCAAAAUUCUCCCAUUGUUGGCCACCUCAUCCACCAUCAAAGCCUCUGAGAGGGUUUUUACAGGGCCGUGUUAGAGCCUUCACCCAUGGAACAGUACAAGACAUGAUGCUACUCCGAGAAUACCGACAGCUCCAGGAACAGCAGUCCCUACUACCCAGCCUCUCCCCCCAACCAUCGCCCCUAUCCAGCAAGAAGCAGCCAGAGGACAACGGCGCCCCUCUUCUAUUACCUAUUAAAAGGCUGGAAUGUUAGGAACAAGUUGCACCAGAACCCCUCCCCCUUCCCACCCGCCCCCGCACCCCCCCCCCCCCACCCAAUGCAGCUGUCCCUUACCCUGAAUACUCUGCAGCUGCAUUCCUGGACCCUUAUCUAGGCACUACAGCAAGGUCACCAGACUUGCUUACAGCCCUACGGGCAGCAUGGGGGAGGUCACGAGAAACGUGGAUAAACCUAAGUUACACCCUCUUGUAAAUUCCUAUAUUGUAACCUGGUCACGAGAUGAUAUGUGGUAAGGUUAACCAACAAACAACCCCAGGGUCUCUCUCCCCCAUAUAAAACCCUCAUUUUGUAAGCUCAGGGCUGCCUCCUUUGACUGUGGUGAAGCAGCCUGGCAGGUUAGUAAACUUACUCUCCUGACCUUGGGUCUCUCUCUCGUCCUUUCUCUCGGCUAACCUUACAGCGCCCUCAUCCAUUCUCCAAUUAUAAUGUGUUUACACCUUUCCUCCUGCAUGUCUCACAUUUUACCUUGUCAUCCUCUUACUUGUGUAUGUGUCUAUGCCUCCCAGCAUUUGACAGUACCUGAAGGUCAAAGCCUAUCUGCUGUUUACCCUUACAAUUCUAUUCACUCGGCACGCACUAGGCACAGAAUAAAUGCCAUUCAUCCCUACUUUUACUUCAGGGUACAUUUUAGAGAUCUAAGAUUUGGUGUAUCUUUCCCAUUAUCCAUUCUUAUUGCCUCAAGGCUCUCCUCUUAUAAAUCUAGUGGUAUGCAUUACUUUGGGGGUAAGGACAAAUUUAUCCAGAACAGAGAAGAUUUAGUUCAGUCUUUAGUUUUAAAAUAAGCAUUUUUAAGUAAUAGCAGAGACAAAAGUCUGAAAGCCAACAUAGUUUUAAUUUAAAAGAAAUUUGAUUUUGCUACAGCUUUUUGGCCAGGAGUAAGUGAGGAUGCUGUUUCGAAAGCUGGUUUUGCAUCUUAAGCAGUACGGUGUGGGUCUUAGGGGCUGGAGUGUAUCUUGCAGGAAACACAGAGUAGGCAAGAAUGUGAGGUGGUGUAAGACUAGUUUGUCUGGUUCAAAAAGUAAAAAAGAAGACUGAAAAAAGUAGGAAAUCUAACCCAAAGCAAUCAAUCUUUGAGAAGAGCCCAGCACACUUCCCUUCCAAUUGAUUUGUCCUACACCCCUCCAUGAGCCUAAGCAUUAGAGCAGAAAUGACUGAGGGUAGCAUCCAAGCCACUGGGCCAAGGGGCACUGGUACGAUGAGGAUACCGUGUCCCACAAUUCUAGGGUAGUCUGGGAAAAACAAAGCAGAGUUCCUGAGAAGAAUGCAGUAGUGGCUGACAGAACCAGAAAGGGUGUUGUAGUGAUAUGUGGCCAUGACAUCAGAAGACUAAAAUGAGGCUAUGGAUAUUCCCUAGCAAAUGUCUGGGGAACAGAGGCCAAAGCCGAAAGCUCAAGAAUUAAUGGAAUGACUACACCUCAACGAAGGUUAUAGAUUAGUGAGGACUGAUGAGUACAAACCAGACUCACACAUCCAUCCUCAUCCUCACUCCCCACCCCCAGGCUACAAUAUUACAUAUAUGUCCCCUACUCCUGAGGGAUGGAAAAGAGGAUGGGUAGGAUAAGUUCAAACUGCUUUAAUGGCUAACAAAAUUCACCUUUAUUCCUUUUUAUUUUUAGUUGACAUGUAAAAAUUGUACAUAUUUAUUGGCUACAGAGUGAUAUUUUGAUACAAGUAUAAAGUGUGUAAUGAUCAAAUCAGAGUAAUUAGCACAUCAAUCACCUCAAAUAGUUAUCACUUAUUUGUACUGGGAACACUCGAAAUCCUUUUCUAGCUUUGAAAAAAUAUACAAUAAAUUAUUGUUAACUGUAUUCACCACAUAGCACUAUACAACAGUAGAACAGAAUUUAUUCCUCCUAUAUUGCUGUAAUUUUGUAUCUGUUAAUUAACCUCUCCCUAGCCUCCCCUCCCCCUACCCUUCCCAAUCUCUCAUAACCACAAUUCUACUCUCUAGAUCUAUGAGCUCAUUUUUUAAGUCCCUGCAUUUGAGUGAGAAGAUGAAGUAUUUAUCUUUCUGCGCAUGACUUGCUUUGCUUAACAUAAUAUCCUCCAGAUUCAUCCACGUUGGUGCAAAUGGAAGGAUUCCAUACUUUAUUUUAUGGCUGAUUAUUGUUCCAUUGUGUGUAUACCAUAUUUUCUUUAUUCACCUGUUUAUGGAUAUUUAUGUUGAUUCCAUACGUUUGCUAUUGUGAAUAGUGAUGCAAUAAACAUAGGGGCAUGCGUAUCCCUUUGAUAUACUAAUGUCCCUUCCUUUAGAUAAAUACCCAGUAGUGGGACUGCUGGAUCAUAUGGUAGUUCUAUUUUUAUUUUUUUUGAGAAACUUCCAUAAUGUUUUUCAUAAUGGCUGUAGUAAUUUACAUUACCACAGCGUAUAAGAGUUCCCUUUUCUCGGCAUCCUCAUGAGCAUUUGUCUUUUCUGUGUGUGUUUUUGAUGACAGUCAUUCUAACUGGGAUAAGAUGAUAUCUCAUAGUGGUUUUGCUUUCCAUUUUCCUGAUAAUUAGUGAUGUUCAGCAUUUUUUCAUUUACUUAUUGGCCAUUCAAAAUUCAUUUCAAUAAAUCAAAAUUAUUUUUAAACCUUCUGGGGAAAUAGGAGCUUGAGAAUAGGGUCCAGUUGAGUUAUAAAUGAAUUAAAAAACACUGUAGACAUGUGGCUGCAUGAGCCAUAUACUUUAUGCUGGAUAGAUAUACAUUUGUUGAAACAUCUGUUGAGUGACUGUAAGUUGUAGGCUUUAUAUUUUAGAAACACAGUGAGUGAGGAAGGCUGAUAAGUAAAUGGACAAGCAAUAUAAAAAAGGCUGAGAAGCAAGUCUCUGCAUAAUGACAGGGAAGUUAAGUCUAAAUCUGACCCUAAAGGGCUGGGACACUGGACAGUGGAAGCAGAAGAAAAGGUCAGGAAACAAACUAUGAAGAAGACAAUAUCUGACGUGGAUAUCAAAGGAUGAGAAAAUAUUGGAUGCCUGCUGGAGAAAGUUGCCAAAUAAGAGGCGAGUAUUCUAGCAAAGGAAUCCAUCUGCAACAGCAAAAGUCUGGUGACUUGAAGGAAUGUGUCAGGCACUGGGUACUAAGACAGUAUCAACAGCAAUGAAGAGAACAGGAAAGAUUCAAGAGAUAAUUAGAAGGUGGAACAGGCUAGGAUAGCAAUUAAAUGAAUGUAGAGCACUUGGGAGAAGUCAGGAUGACUCCUGGAUUUUGGCUUUGAAAUCCUGAGUGAGUGGUGGCUCCAUUAAUAAGAUAAAGACAAUUAGAGAAGAAAUCAUUUUCUAGAUGUGUUGAGUUUGAGGUUCUUAUGACACACAUAACAUGAAAUAUCUGAAAUACUGACUUGGAGCUCAGGCAAGAGGUCUGAGUUAGAUUUAAAGUUUAGAUUGACUCAUGGGUAGUAGUUGAAGCUCUGGGUGGGGAUGAGUUUGCUUAGGAAGAAUGUAUAAAAGAAGAGACAAUAAUUAAAAUCCUUUAAAAAAGCACUUGAAGGGCAGGCCAUGCAAAGAAGAAUAACAGUGGCCUGAGAGGGAGAAAAACAAGGAAGCCAGGGGAGGAGUGAGGCUGGAUAAGCUGGGAAAAGUCAAAAGUGUGGGUUGCAACACAAGAAUCACGUGCAUAAUGUCACGGUGUCCACCGGAUUUACCAGGGGUCAUCGAUGCCCAUAACAAGAACAUUUUCCGAGGAACUGUGAGAGUGAAAGUCUGACUGUGGGUUAAAGACUGACUGGUAAAUGAGGAAGUGGAGACUGUUUUUUCAAAGCAGCAUGACUGGACAAUGGGAGAGGGCGUGAUCAUUUAUAAAUAGUGAGGAGAACAGGGUAAAGCUGCAUCACGGACCAAACAGCAAGGAAACAGAACAUGGGGAACAUCAGGAUCAGUAACUCACCACAGGAAUUCCUACUCCUGGGAAAUAGAAUUCUUCACUAGUGGCUGACUGUGACAUAUCUUUCCAAGAGUUAACCCCAGACUCCAAAUCUUAAGAAUAUGGGCUUUUCUUCCACUAUCAUUCACAUUCUGCAGUUACUGGUAGUAUUUUACAGUAUUUUCAGAUGUAAUUUUACUAAUUUCUAAAAAUAGUUCAUAUCUUUAAAAAUCAUGGGAAAAUCAUGACUAAUAAAUUCACCAACUUUAAAAUAUAUUGUUCAAAAGUGUUUUUCCAAUGACUCUGUAAAUUGGUAAGAUCUGGCCACAUUUCAUGUUAUUGUCUAAAAAUAAGCUAACUAUGAGACAAUGGGUCUAAAUCAUUCUCCAAAAUAUUGAUGAUGUUCUUCACUUUCAAACUGGCUAAACUGAUAAUUUUACUAUCUUAUGCCUCAGGCUGAGGAGGUUAUAUUGUAAUGUCCGGGAAUAUUUACUAUAAUUUAAAAUUCAAUAAAAGGACAAUAUGGAAUAACAUAUUAAUAAUAGUGACUGUUGAUCAAAAAAGCUGAUUUCUCUGAUAUAUGAUCAAGGUAUGGGAUUUAGGUUAUAUCCAUAACCUUAGUUUUGGCCAGGUGGCCUUAGCUGGGUGAUAACUGGAUGUUUAACCUAAGUUUUUCAUACCUGGGUCAUAAUACAAACUUGAAGAAACUGCACUGGCAUCCUUUUAGGCUCUCUGAUGCAGAAGGUUGUCUUUGGAUAACUAGCGCAAUUACUACUAUUAAAAUAUUAUGGUACAGAAAAGUUUAGUUACGUGUAUUUCUUUGUUUACUGACACACCCCAAAAUAAAGUUGCCAAGGUAGUUCAAGAUCUUAUCACCAUUCAGAAACUUUUGGCAACAUACCAACUGGUUAAAGGUUAAUAACACAAACACAGAUCCUGGAGGUAUUUGCCAUAGAUUAUGUAGGAAUCUGGUGCUUGAUUCUCACCAGGGUAUCCCUUUUGAGUAUAGGAAAAUUCCAGAAUAUAAUUGAUAACCAAGCACCAGUACCUCUGCAACAAAUAUCUCUCAUUCCAAAUAUCUCUUUUACAAGGCAUGGGAAAAGAGAACUUGAAAGUUAUUAAAGAUAAUUAACUAUAUAAAAUAAAAAUAAUUUACUAUUAAAUAGAUGAAUGCCCUGGAACCUUAUAAUAGAGACUCUGUCCCUAUUACGUGAACCUGGAUUUGUGGCCCAUACUCCCACAGGUUGACUAUGGGAAGAGAGUAUACGGCACAAGAACUACAACCUGUCUACCACCACACCCAACUACCUGGCCCAUAGUGGAAACUCUGUAUUUGUUCUGCAAAAUAAUAAAUGAUUUAGUGAAUACUACUGCUUUCAGUGGAAUCUCAGCAGAUUAAGCAUCAUCAGUUCUGAAUUCAGCAGAUUCUGAAACUGUCACAAGGCAUUCUAUUACCAGGCCAUACUAUCUAAUAUACUACCAAGUUAGCUUAGUGUGGUGAAAAAAAUGUAAAGUAGGAAUAGAAAAACCCAGGACCCAUCCUGGGUCAUCACGCAACUGGCAUGAAUGUGGAGUGACUUGCACAUACCUUCUAAAGCCUAAGGCUUUUGUUUCCCCUUUUGAAACUGGGAUGAUA
RNAcentral lists this long non-coding RNA (5988 nucleotides) under Homo sapiens (human). Its description in RNAcentral is "HSALNT0339259". The record is from RNAcentral. Lineage: Eukaryota; Metazoa; Chordata; Mammalia; Primates; Hominidae.